Molecule: ribosomal RNA, 279 nt
Filed under: uncultured bacterium
Lineage: Bacteria
Description: partial 16S ribosomal RNA
Rfam family: Bacterial small subunit ribosomal RNA
Source: RNAcentral
UGCCAGCAGCCGCGGUAAUACGGAGGGGGUUAGCGUUAAUCGGAAUUACUGGGCGUAAAGCGCGCGUAGGCGGCUUUGUAAGUCGGAUGUGAAAGCCCUGGGCUUAACCUGGGAAUUGCAUUCGAUACUGCAGAACUAGAGUACGGUAGAGGGAAGUGGAAUUCCGGGUGUAGCGGUGAAAUGCGUAGAUAUCCGGAGGAACACCAGUGGCGAAGGCGACUUCCUGGGCCAGUACUGACGCUGAGGUGCGAAAGCGUGGGGAGCAAACAGGAUUAGAUA